GAGUGGCUCAGUGGUGGAGCAUUACCUUGCCAAGGUAGGGGCCGCGGGUUCGAAUCCCGUCUCG
This 64-nucleotide transfer RNA is filed under the name bovine gut metagenome. It matches the Rfam family "tRNA", at positions 5 to 66 of the family's 71-position model. From Rfam's summary of the family: Transfer RNA (tRNA) molecules are approximately 80 nucleotides in length. Their secondary structure includes four short double-helical elements and three loops (D, anti-codon, and T loops). Further hydrogen bonds mediate the characteristic L-shaped molecular structure. tRNAs have two regions of fundamental functional importance: the anti-codon, which is responsible for specific mRNA codon recognition, and the 3' end, to which the tRNAs corresponding amino acid is attached (by aminoacyl-tRNA synthetases). tRNAs cope with the degeneracy of the genetic code in two manners: having more than one tRNA (with a specific anti-codon) for a particular amino acid; and 'wobble' base-pairing, i.e. permitting non-standard base-pairing at the 3rd anti-codon position. The record is from RNAcentral.